AUGUCUUCUGAUGAAGAUCCCCCUCCAAGCAUGACACAAUUAUUAGCCAUGAUCGAGGCGAUGAAGAGCCAAGACGAUUGCGGCCAGAGGCUUGUGCUUUUGGAGCCUCAGCCAUUGUCCCAGGCUAUUUGGGACGAUCAGGGAGGACGACGACUGUCUCAGGCGGAAAGGGUGUGGUUCCAGCGAACAGAGUCAGGUGAGGUGGUGCUCCGGUCAGUCAGAACCAUUUCAAAUGAAGUCUUUAAGAAAUUGGAAUGA
Molecule: non-coding RNA, 258 nt
Organism: Vicia faba (fava bean)
Lineage: Eukaryota; Viridiplantae; Streptophyta; Magnoliopsida; Fabales; Fabaceae
Source: the annotation of a GenBank genome assembly